Vicia villosa (hairy vetch) is the source of this 1358-nucleotide long non-coding RNA. RefSeq lists it as uncharacterized. The transcript is spliced from 3 exons. NCBI's taxonomy places the organism in Eukaryota, Viridiplantae, Streptophyta, Magnoliopsida, Fabales, Fabaceae. The record is from RefSeq and is a predicted model, not a curated record.
AAAAGGAUUAGGGUUUGGAGCAUUUCACGUUCUCUUCUUCAAACUUCCUUCUCUCUCUCUCUCAAAUAAAAUAAAAAACUCGAGAGCGGCGACCGACUUUCAUCGUCUUUCUCCAUAGAGCUCUUUUCGUUCCUUCUCCGAUUUGGUUCACUGAUGAUGAACACCGUCAAACGGCGACCGCCUCUUCAAAACGGAGGCGAUCUCCUCGCUUCGAUCCGAACGGUAGCCUUUGUAAUUUGAUUCUGGUCCGAUUUGAAACCCUUCUUCACUUUCUCAUGAACAUGCAACGGAGGCCUCAGAUAUGGGUUUGAAUCGUUGUUGCUGCGGGUUGUCUGUUGCUGUGUGAGGUUAUUGUAGGUCGAGAUGAUGUAUUGAUCACGUUUUGAGUUGAAUCAGAUGAAGUCGUGAGUGUUGGUUGUUGGUGAUGAAUGAUGAUCUUGCUAAGCGUUGAACUAAUGACGAUAUUCAAUCACUUCAGCCCCGAGUUGAGGGUAUCGAUUCUAUUUCUGGUUACGACAUCUAUGUUAACAUUUGACUUAUUUUUGGGUUGCAUGUUGUAGUGUCUCAAUGUUCUAGGCUUCCUUAAUCUCAACAUCUGGCUUUAACAACUGGUCUAAACCAAUAUUUAAGAACAGUUAAGGUUCAAGAUGUACUUAAGAUUUGUAGCUUCUAAGAGCUCCUUUGAUGGAAGGAUUGCCCCUGCCUCCGAACAUAAAGAUUCUGGAUCCUAAACUUUGCUUCUUAUGGGGUUAAGAAUCCCGUUUAUGUUGUUUUUUUAUGGCUCAAACCACAAUGCAUAGCGAACUCGGUAAGAUUACUCUCGACUAGACCUUUGCAGACACACUUAAUGAAAAUAUUGUGGUGAGUUUAUUUCAAUGAAUCAAAAAUAAAAAGUAUUUUAUAUUGGUUCUUCAAAUUAAUUUAUGGAAUAUAUGUUGGUUAUUAAAAUAUUGUAAACGCGAGGAUAUGACCCAUAUUCAUGUUUUUGAACUGAGUAUGUUGUCGCCCGAUGUAGUUUUACAAAUAGAGUUGGGGUAGCUGGCUGUUGCAACAAAAAUAUUGCAUCAUUGGUAAAAUAGUUCUGGAUGUAUUUGGUUAAUGAAUUUUUUGUGCUUUAUCUGCCAAUCUAUUGGCAAGAAUGUCAUGCUGAUGUACAUAUGGGCCUACAAUUAUCAAGCUACAUUCUUACAGGAAGCAGAAAGUUUAAAUCAUAGUUUGUAAACCAUGGUUUGAUUCAUAAAGAAAUGGUGUAUAUAUGUAGAAAGGGUGUAUUUGUUGUAUUUAUAGUGGUCUUAAAUGUUAAGAAGUGCAAUAGGGUAAAUUAAUAUUAUAUUUAAUUUAGAACAUUUCUUUAUAAA